GACGAACGCUGGCGGCGUGCCUAAUACAUGCAAGUAGGACACACAGUUUAUACCGUAGCUUGCUACACCAUAGACUGUGAGUUGCGAACGGGUGAGUAACGCGUAGGUAACCUGCCUAUUAGAGGGGGAUAACUAUUGGAAACGAUAGCUAAUACCGCAUAACAGUAUGUAACACAUGUUAGAUGCUUGAAAGAUGCAAUUGCAUCGCUAGUAGAUGGACCUGCGUUGUAUUAGCUAGUAGGUAGGGUAAUGGCCUACCUAGGCGACGAUACAUAGCCGACCUGAGAGGGUGAUCGGCCACACUGGGACUGAGACACGGCCCAGACUCCUACGGGAGGCAGCAGUAGGGAAUCUUCGGCAAUGGGGGGAACCCUGACCGAGCAACGCCGCGUGAGUGAAGAAGGUUUUCGGAUCGUAAAGCUCUGUUGUUAAGGAAGAACGAGUGUGAGAAUGGAAAGUUCAUACUGUGACG
This 472-nucleotide ribosomal RNA is filed under the name Streptococcus anginosus. RNAcentral describes it as "bacterial SSU rRNA". It matches the Rfam family "Bacterial small subunit ribosomal RNA", at positions 28 to 474 of the family's 1533-position model. The record is from RNAcentral. Lineage: Bacteria; Bacillati; Bacillota; Bacilli; Lactobacillales; Streptococcaceae.